GUGGUCAUCAAAGUGGAGGCCCUCUCUGAGCCAGAAUUUAGAAAGUGCUUCCACUUUGUGUGCCAC
MicroRNA precursor from Neotoma lepida (desert woodrat), 66 nucleotides. It matches the Rfam family "mir-290 microRNA precursor family". Lineage: Eukaryota; Metazoa; Chordata; Mammalia; Rodentia; Cricetidae. The record is from Rfam.